GUCGGGAUAGCUCAGCUGGUAGAGCAGAGGACUGAAAAUCCUCGUGUCACCAGUGCCAAUCUGGUUCCUGGCA
RNAcentral lists this transfer RNA (73 nucleotides) under Euryale ferox. Its description in RNAcentral is "tRNA-Phe". It matches the Rfam family "tRNA". Rfam says of the family: Transfer RNA (tRNA) molecules are approximately 80 nucleotides in length. Their secondary structure includes four short double-helical elements and three loops (D, anti-codon, and T loops). RNAcentral also lists the same sequence under 2 other names. Lineage: Eukaryota; Viridiplantae; Streptophyta; Magnoliopsida; Nymphaeales; Nymphaeaceae. The record is from RNAcentral.